Molecule: long non-coding RNA, 581 nt
Filed under: Homo sapiens (human)
Lineage: Eukaryota; Metazoa; Chordata; Mammalia; Primates; Hominidae
Description: non-protein coding ST3GAL5-AS1:27
Source: RNAcentral
GGAAGGAAACAAAGCUUAAGGCAGUGAUUGAUAGGUUAUUUCUUGGACACAGCUGAACGUAUACUGUGCGCCUGCAACUUUCCGGUGGUUUCGGACCGGACUUCAGUGAAGCCAGUGAAGUCGGUCGACUUGCAGAACUUCCUUUCAGAGGGGCGUACACAGCACCGCGGCCGUGUGCCUGUGAUCUCCUUCUGAGUUUGAAAAAGAAGAUCCUAGACACCGAGCCAAAUAUGUUUGCAUAAACCGGGAGACUUGUGGCUCUAUUUUGUAACAGCUUGGCGCAGGGCAGCUGGUUUGGAGAUGUCUCUGUUCUUCCCUUGGUGGGGGUGCCGGAAAAAAUGUGCUGCCUGGGCGAUCGAGGUUGGGGCAAAAGCGUUGCAAAGGAAAAGGUGGGAGGACUCUACUUUCACAUUUCCCAAAAGAGUUUUACCAUAAGACUAUUUCUGGAUUGUUCUAACGUGAGGAUAUUGGGAGCAUUUUGAAAAUACUGGAGGAAAAGCUGUCACUGGGCGAUUUAAAUCCGGUCUUGUCAUAACCUGCCACACAUCAAGGUUCUGGAAAGUGGAAAAUGUGCAGGGGUU